UGGAUCCAACACAGUCGCAAGAGUCCAGUCCAAAGCGGAUCCAACACAGCAGCGAGAGUCCCGUUCACAGCGGAGCCAGCAGGAAACCAUCCCAAGCGGAGGCGGAUCAGCAUCGCAGAGAUGUCCCCAGCCGAUACACAGGCAAACAUAUGUUGUCUUUGUAGCAUAUUCAACUGAAUAUGGGUUGAAAAUGAUUUGCAAAUCAUUGUAUUCUGUUUAUAUUUACAUCUAACACAAUUUCCCAACUCAUAUGGAAACGGGGUUUGUACUUAAUUUAAUAAUUAUUUACAUUUAUGAAAGAGUAAUUCUGUUUGUAAUAUAAUUUUUAGUCAAGUAACGACUAUUAUUAUUGCUUUUUAAAACAGAUAUUCCAAACAUUGUUAAUUGAUAAACUGUUUUAUCAGGAUAUGGUGUAUUUGCUCUUGCAUCAAUUUAAAAAGGUUCUUUUGUGGUCGAGUACCGAGGGAAGUUCAUCUCAAGACAUGAGCGGGACAAGAGACAGAAACCCUCUAUAAAUAUCUUUACUAUUUAUCUGGCAUUAUAUGCUCAUAAUGUUAACAACAAAAAGUGCUGAUAAUGUUAUAAUUAAUAAGUUCUAACAUUAUUUUUAUGUGUUUUGUUGCAGACACCAACUGUUGAUGUUCUAUCUCAACAUUCUCCAGAUUCAUGUGACCGAUAAACCGACUUCAUCCCUCCAACAGACACCAACUGUUGGGGUUCUAUCUCAACAUUCUCCAGAUUCAGAUGUGAGCGAUAAACCGACUUCAUCCCUCCAACAGAAACCAACUGUUGAGGUUCCAUCUCAACAUUCUCCAGAUUCAGAUAUGAGCCAUUAACUGACUUCAUCCCUCCAACA
Nerophis ophidion (straightnose pipefish) is the source of this 856-nucleotide long non-coding RNA. RefSeq lists it as uncharacterized. The record is from RefSeq and is a predicted model, not a curated record. The transcript is spliced from 3 exons. NCBI's taxonomy places the organism in Eukaryota, Metazoa, Chordata, Actinopteri, Syngnathiformes, Syngnathidae.